GACGAACGCUGGCGGCAUGCCUAAUACAUGCAAGUCGAGCGAACAGAUGAAGUGCUUGCACUUCUGACGUUAGCGGCGAACGGGUGAGUAACACGUAAGGAAUCUACCUAUAAGCGGGGGAUAACAUUCGGAAACGGGUGCUAAUACCGCAUAAUAUCUUCUUCCGCAUGGAAGAAGAUUGAAAGACGGCUCUGCUGUCACUUAUAGAUGACCUUGCGGUGCAUUAGUUAGUUGGUGGGGUAAUAGCCUACCAAGACGAUGAUGCAUAGCCGACCUGGGCGGGUGAUCGGCCACAUUGGGACUGAGACACGGCCCAAACUCCUACGGGAGGCAGCAGUAGGGAAUCUUCCGCAAUGGGCGAAAGCCUGACGGAGCAAUGCCGCGUGAGUGAAGAAGGCCUUCGGGUCGUAAAACUCUGUUAUAAGAGAAGAACAAAUUGUAGAGUAACUGCUACAGUCUUGACGGUAUCUUAUCAGAAAGCCACGGCUAACUACGUGCCAGCCGCCGCAGUAA
This 513-nucleotide ribosomal RNA is filed under the name uncultured bacterium. RNAcentral describes it as "partial 16S ribosomal RNA". It matches the Rfam family "Bacterial small subunit ribosomal RNA", at positions 28 to 523 of the family's 1533-position model. The record is from RNAcentral.